RNAcentral lists this unclassified non-coding RNA (345 nucleotides) under uncultured fungus. Its description in RNAcentral is "partial contains 5.8S ribosomal RNA and internal transcribed spacer 2". The stretch from base 1 to 133 matches the Rfam family "5.8S ribosomal RNA", at positions 22 to 154 of the family's 154-position model. Lineage: Eukaryota; Fungi. The record is from RNAcentral.
UGGCUCUGGCAUCGAUGAAGAACGCAGCGAAAUGCGAUAAGUAAUGUGAAUUGCAGAAUUCAGUGAAUCAUCGAAUCUUUGAACGCACAUUGCGCCCGCCGGUAUUCCGGCGGGCAUGCCUGUUCGAGCGUCAUUUCGACCCCUCAAGCCCAGCUUGGUGUUGGGGCGGCGGGACCGCCACGGUCCCCGCGCCCCCAAGUCGAUCGGCGGGCUCGCCCGGACCCUGAGCGCAGUAAAAAUCGCGGUAAAACGCGGCGCCGCUCGGUUCGUCCGGCGGGAUCCUUGCCGCCAAAACAACCGAAAACCCCAAAGGUUGACCUCGGAUCAGGUAGGAAUACCCGCUGA